This 258-nucleotide unclassified non-coding RNA is filed under the name Hevea brasiliensis (rubber tree). The record is from RNAcentral. Lineage: Eukaryota; Viridiplantae; Streptophyta; Magnoliopsida; Malpighiales; Euphorbiaceae.
UGAAUAUCAAAAAGCAUUCUGUCAUCAUCAUUUGUAACAAAAUUGAUGGCAACACCCUUUCUUCCAAAACGCCCACUUCGGCCAAUUCGAUGAAGGUAAUUUUCUGGUUGGGUUGGUAAAUCAUAAUUUAUGACAAGGGAGACUUGCUGAACAUCAAUACCACGAGCUAACAAGUCAGUUGUGAUAAGGACACGAGACGAACCAGACCGAAAUUCACGCAUGAUUAUAUCUCGAGUGUUCUGGUCCAUGUCACCAUGG